Molecule: long non-coding RNA, 2083 nt
Filed under: Citrus sinensis (sweet orange)
Lineage: Eukaryota; Viridiplantae; Streptophyta; Magnoliopsida; Sapindales; Rutaceae
Description: long non-coding RNA (CSIN_LNC001075)
Source: RNAcentral
UUUCAUAACAUUUAAAUAUUAUCAAUAUAUAUUACACAAUCCAAAUACUUCAAUACACAAAGACGUCUUACUACAAGACAUCUUAUUCUUAUAAUUGAAUAAUCUUAACUGCUAUUAUCCAAUCAAAUUCCUUCUACUCGUAGCUGAAUUUAAGGGCUAAAUUUACCAAAUCUAAAAGCUAAAUUUAGAAGGAUUAUUAUUUUUCACUCCAUGAACAUAAGUACUGCAAUCAUGCAUUAUCACGAACAUCUUCUUCAUUCACGGACAGCUUCUUCAUUCGAUAAAUUUGAUGGGUUAGGGAUAUAAGUUGAAGAAGAAACACUUUAAACAUAUUAAUCAUAUCUGCAAACAAAUAAAAGAAAAAGGAAAAGAAAUUGGUUGCCAAAUUCCAACAGUUGCAAAAUAAAUUAACAAGCAAUACAGAGACAAAAGUUAAUAGAAAUAAACAUAUUUUGCUCGAAAAUAUUUUAUAUUUGUCUAUUUUCGUAAAUUUGUGAUGUUUAGGGCUACUAUGUUAGGGGCGCAAAACCCUAAUUUUAUUAAUUCAAACUUUUUCAAUAAAACAUUCAUUAUUGAGAAGCUUUGUUUCUCUUAUCAAUCAAAUUCUUAUGUUUUCACACUACUAGAAAAAUGAUCUUUACUGACUUUAGAAUAGUGUCAGAAAUUACUUUUACUGACACUUAUUAAUUGUGUCAGUAAUCUGGGAGUCAGAAAAAUAGUGACACUUGUAAGUGGUGUCAGUGAUUACUAUUACUAUAGUAUCACUAAAAUAAUAACACCAUGGUAUCAAAAUAUUACAAUACUAUAUUAGUAUUUGUGAUUACUGUUACUAUAGUAUCACUACUUUAUUUAUUUUUUAAAAAAUAAUUAUAUAAAAUGACAUGUUGCCCAUUGAUUUGUUGAUAGAAUUAAAAGGCUGUGAGAAAUAAGAACAAAAAUCAAUUUAUAUAUCAAAACCUUUCAUAACAUUUAAAUAUUAUCAAUAUAUAUUACACAAUCCAAAUACUUCAAUACACAAAGACGUCUUAUUACAAGACAUCUUAUUCUUAUAAUUGAAUAAUCUUAACUGCUAUUAUCCAAUCAAAUUUCUUCUACUCGUAGAUGAAUUUAAGGGCUAAAUUUACCAAAUCUAAAAGCUAAAUUUAGAAGGAUUAUUAUUUUUCACUCCAUGAACAUAAGUAUUGCGAUCAUGCAUUAUCACAGACAGCUUCUUCAUUCGAUGAAUUUGAUGGGUUAGGGAUAUAAGUUGAAGAAGAAACACUUUAAACAUAUUAAUCAUAUCUGCAAACAAAUAAAAGAAAAAGGUAAAGAAAUUGGUUGCCAAAUUCCAACAGUUGCAAAAUAAAUUAAAAAGCAAUACAGACACAAAAGUUAAUAGAAAUAAAUAUAUUUUGCUCGAAAAUAAAAAAAUUCAUAAGCUAUGAACAGAUCAACUCAAUUAUCUUAAAGGAAAAUUAGAGAAUAAGAAUGUUGUAACUCAUUUGAUUAGAAAUAAGGUAGAAUAUAUUUAACUAUAGAUAUAAAUUAAAAAAAAAAAAAGGUGAUGAUGAAUUCAUUCUCUUAUAUAUAUAUGAAUAAGAGAGAGUGAGAGAGCAAAUUAUAGCAUUCAAAUUUUCAGUAUAACAUCUAGUUUCAAGAAAGUGUGUUUAUUUCUCAUUAUAUAAAAAAUAAUGAUUUUCCAGCUAAAAAAAAUUCAUAAUAAAAUUUAAUAUCUAAUACAACAUAGUAUGUUUUUUUUUUCAAAAAAAUGCUUGCAAUUAUGUCUUUUAGCCACCAAGCCUAAGUGUGAGAGUAAAGCAUUUAACUCUUGAUAAUUACACACUUUCUGCAUAAUGCAAUUAGUGUCAACUCAUUCUAAAUUACUCUACUUGAAUAAUAAAACAUUUCAGCCAUUGUAUUGAUGGAGCUACUAAUCCAGAAUAUUCACAAUAAAUAUAGAGUUCAAGGCAAUUAAGAGAUGUACCUCUUAAAGCUAUGCAUAUUCUCUAUCUUUCUAAGGCAAUCUUUAAUUCAUAUAGUUCCACCCCCUUUGAAUUCACAAACCAAGACUUUACAAACAAAGGCCUUAUAUCAUUAAUCUUNN